UACGUAGGGUGCGAGCGUUAAUCGGAAUUACUGGGCGUAAAGCGUGCGCAGGCGGUUUUGUAAGCCGGAUGUGAAAUCCCCAGGCUUAACCUGGGAACUGCGUGUGAUACUGGAUGGCUUGAAUUCGGGAGAGGGAUGCAGAAUUCCAGGUGUAGCGGUGAAAUGCGUAGAUAUCUGGAGGAAUACCGGUGGCGAAGGCGGCAUCCUGGACCGACAUUGACGCUGAACGGCGAAAGCUAGGGGAGCAAACGGG
Molecule: ribosomal RNA, 253 nt
Filed under: uncultured bacterium
Lineage: Bacteria
Description: partial 16S ribosomal RNA
Rfam family: Bacterial small subunit ribosomal RNA
Source: RNAcentral